Long non-coding RNA from Acanthopagrus latus (yellowfin seabream), 1422 nucleotides. RefSeq lists it as uncharacterized. The record is from RefSeq and is a predicted model, not a curated record. Lineage: Eukaryota; Metazoa; Chordata; Actinopteri; Spariformes; Sparidae. The transcript is spliced from 2 exons.
GACCUUUCGAUGGCGGCGUCGGGCUCUACUCGAGCCCGGUGGAAGCCUGACCCGCAGGCCUCACGAGCAGCAAACCCAGAGCCGCCAAGUCAGCGGGCCGAACACCGAAGCUGUGUCCUCUCUACCGCAUGUCCCGCAGAAAAACAGCGUAUUGGUGUGAGACUGCGGGUCAGACCGUCAUUUAAAACCCGCAGCUACGCUUCACUUGCUGCUGUCUCUACGCGAAUAUAAUGGCUGCGUGAGAGCGAGAUAAAACACGAACCCCGCGCAAAAACACUCGAGACAAAGUUUUGAACGCGCUCACCCUCCAGACUCACCCGGCGGCCCGAACCAGCGGACGAACUUUUAAUUCGAGUCCGCGCAGGUGACGUGACUUUUAGGAUUAGCUGUUGAGCUAACUUGGUUGGCAGUAAAACCUCCAGUCAGAGAUCAGAAAACCGCUAACAGCUGUCCGAAACGGCCGACCCGGGCCGGGCACACAGUCCUCGGGGAGAGUCGGUCACACGGUCCCCGGGACACCGAGCGGAUCUCCAGAAGAGUCCCAGAACCAGAGAAAAGGAACAGUUAGAAAGAUUUUUUACAACAUAGUCCUUGACCAAAUAGAGGUAGUUCACCAACUGUGAAAACAGCGCCGCCGCCCGGCCAGCCGGAGCAGCGCAGAAUCCCCAAAAAUCCUCCAUCUGCUUUGAGUCGUCAUCGCUAAAAAAUGGUGAAACAGGACACCGGGAGGCUCGGCCGUUAACCCUUCACUGCCCCCGAGACACGCGAGUCAGAGAGACGAGAGCCGGCAGACAAACACCAUCCAUCUUCACAGAGGCUUUUCUUUAAGUCCGCUAACAUCGUCUGUGAACGACCAACACACUGUGACCAGUGGUGGAACGUACCUGAGUACAUUUACUCCAGUAUAGUACUCCCAUUUUUACUCACAUGAAACAAAUACUGAACAUUUGCUGCAACUACUACAUUUAUCUGACGGCUUUAGUUACUGUGAAUAUUAAAGUUUUACAUUCAAAACCAUCAAAAUAUUACAAGAUAUACAUUUAAUCAGCCAGCAGUUUGUGAAACAAAACAAGUUAGCACUUUCCCUCUAACGACAGUACAACAUUUCUGUGUGUUAUUACUAUUCCUACUGAAGCUGAGGAUCUUCUUCCACCACGGACUGUGACUUACAAUCAUACUGCAGUUGUAAUGACUACAGAAAUACAAAAAGACAACAACUGUACACACUUUUAUUAAUUAUUUAUUGUUACUCCCAAAGUUACAGGUUGUUAAUGACUUAGUACUUUGUACUGAUGUGACUGUGGUUGUAAGACUCGUCUUGUUCUCUGUUUUGUUCUUGUGAUCAUGUUUGUUUGUUUGUUUGUUUAGCUGGAGUCAAUGUUCUUUAACUGUCGAUCAAUAAAAAGCUACAGGAAGCCUUUA